RNAcentral lists this ribosomal RNA (441 nucleotides) under uncultured bacterium. RNAcentral's name for it is "partial 16S ribosomal RNA". It matches the Rfam family "Bacterial small subunit ribosomal RNA", at positions 339 to 795 of the family's 1533-position model. The record is from RNAcentral.
CUACGGGGUGCAGCAGUGGGGAAUAUUGGGCAAUGGAGGCAACUCUGACCCAGCAACGCCGCGUGAAUGAUGAAGGUCUUCGGAUUGUAAAGUUCUGUGAGGAGGGACGAACAAAUGACGGUACCUCCUGAGGAAGCCACGGCUAACUACGUGCCAGCAGCCGCGGUAAGACGUAGGUGGCAAGCGUUGUCCGGAAUGACUGGGCGUAAAGGGAGCGUAGGCGGUCUGUCAAGUUAGAAGUGAAAUCCCGUGGCUUAACCACGGAACUGCUUUUAAAACUGAUGGACUUGAGUGAUGGAGAGGAAAGCGGAAUUCCUAGUGUAGCGGUGGAAUGCGUAGAUAUUAGGAGGAACACCAGUGGCGAAGGCGGCUUUCUGGACAUUAACUGACGCUGAGGCUCGAAAGCGUGGGGAGCAAACAGGAUUAGAUACCCUGGUAGUC